CUUUACUACAGCUUUGUACUGGCAUUAGGACGCAAUUGCGUAGGAUAGGCGGGACGCUUUGAAGUCCGGAUUUUGGUCCGGAUGGAGCGGUCGGUGAAAUACCGCCCUGUUUCGUUUUAAUGUCUAACUUGCCUCUGUGAAACCAGGGGGAGGACAGUGCAUGGUGGGUAGUUUGACUGGGGUGGUCGCCUCCCAAAUUGUACCGGAGGCGCACGAUGGUUUGCUCAGGUUGGUCGGAAAUCAACUGGUGAGUGCAAUGGCAUAAGCAGGCCUGACUGCAAGGAGGACACUCCGAGCAGAGACGAAAGUCGGUCAUAGUGACCCGGUAACUUCCGCAUGGAAGGGUUAUCGAACACGGAUAAAAGCUA
Molecule: ribosomal RNA, 368 nt
Filed under: uncultured organism
Description: bacterial LSU rRNA
Rfam family: Bacterial large subunit ribosomal RNA
Source: RNAcentral